RNAcentral lists this ribosomal RNA (465 nucleotides) under uncultured Klebsiella sp. RNAcentral describes it as "bacterial SSU rRNA". It matches the Rfam family "Bacterial small subunit ribosomal RNA", at positions 338 to 795 of the family's 1533-position model. Lineage: Bacteria; Pseudomonadati; Pseudomonadota; Gammaproteobacteria; Enterobacterales; Enterobacteriaceae. The record is from RNAcentral.
CCUACGGGAGGCUGCAGUGGGGAAUAUUGCACAAUGGGCGCAAGCCUGAUGCAGCCAUGCCGCGUGUGUGAAGAAGGCCUUCGGGUUGUAAAGCACUUUCAGCGGGGAGGAAGGCGGUGAGGUUAAUAACCUCAUCGAUUGACGUUACCCGCAGAAGAAGCACCGGCUAACCCCGUGCCAGCAGCCGCGGUAAUACGGAGGGUGCAAGCGUUAAUCGGAAUUACUGGGCGUAAAGCGCACGCAGGCGGUCUGUCAAGUCGGAUGUGAAAUCCCCGGGCUCAACCUGGGGACUGCAUUCGGAACUGGCAGGCUAGAGUCUUGUAGAGGGGGGUAGAAUUCCAGGUGUAGCGGUGAAAUGCGUAGAGAUCUGGAGGAAUACCGGUGGCGAAGGCGGCCCCCUGGACAAAGACUGACGCUCAGGUGCGAAAGCGUGGGGAGCAAACAGGAUUAGAUACCCCGGUAGUC